GACGAACGCUGGCGGCGUGCUUAACACAUGCAAGUCGAACGGAAAGGCCCUGCUUUUGUGGGGUGCUCGAGUGGCGAACGGGUGAGUAACACGUGAGUAACCUGCCCUUGACUUUGGGAUAACUUCAGGAAACUGGGGCUAAUACCGGCUAGGAGCUCCUGCUGCAUGGUGGGGGUUGGAAAGUUUCGGCGGUUGGGGAUGGACUCGCGGCUUAUCAGCUUGUUGGUGGGGUAGUGGCUUACCAAGGCUUUGACGGGUAGCCGGCCUGAGAGGGUGACCUGCCACAUUGGGACGGAGAUGCGACCCAGACUCCUACGGGAGGCAGCAGUGGGGAAUAUUGCACAAUGGGCGGAAGCCUGAUGCAGCAACGCCGCGUGCGGGAUGACGGCCUUCGGGUUGUAAACCGCAUUCGCCUGUGACGAAGCGUGAGUGACGGUAAUGGGUAAAGAAGCACCGGCUAACUACGUG
RNAcentral lists this ribosomal RNA (468 nucleotides) under uncultured bacterium. Its description in RNAcentral is "partial 16S ribosomal RNA". It matches the Rfam family "Bacterial small subunit ribosomal RNA", at positions 28 to 507 of the family's 1533-position model. The record is from RNAcentral.